This 376-nucleotide unclassified non-coding RNA is filed under the name uncultured Gaiellales bacterium. Its description in RNAcentral is "contains 16S-23S intergenic spacer region". The record is from RNAcentral. Lineage: Bacteria; Bacillati; Actinomycetota; Thermoleophilia; Gaiellales.
UCCGAGUUGUCCCCGGCAGUCCCUUUAGAGUCCCCGGCAUUACCCGCUGGCAACUAAAGGCAGGGGUUGCGCUCGUUGCGGCACUUAAGCCAACACUUCACGGCACGAGCUGACGACAGCCAUGCACCACCUGUGCACAGGCCCCGAAGGGCUGCCGUGUUUCCACGACAUUCCUGUGCAUGUCAAGCCCAGGUAAGGUUCUUCGCGUCGCGUCGAAUUAAACCACAUGCUCCGCUGCUUGUGCGGGCCCCCGUCAAUUCCUUUGAGUUUUAGCCUUGCGGCCGUACUCCCCAGGCGGGAUGCUUAAUGCGUUAGCUGCGACACCGAAGGGAAAACCCCCCGACAUCUAGCGCUCAUCGUUUACGGCGUGGACUAC